UUUCUCUUUUGAGAUACGUAGGAGCAGGAUUUGUAAAUCUUGUCAGGCCCACUAAUAAAAAACUUAGGUUUAGUCCUUCGUCAAAAAUCCAAAAACGUUUCUCCUAUCUUCUAUUCUUUCAUUCCCACCUAAUGAAUUGAAAAGCCUAACAUUUCAAACUAACAUUAAUGCACACAACUGACCUAAUGGUUCCCGUUGAGUACAACGGACGUGAGGGGUGCUAAUACCUUCCCCCCGCGUAAUCGACUCCCGAACCCUGAUUUAGUUGCGACGACCAAUAAUCAUUGUCGUUUUGUUUUUGGGUUUUAUCGAUAUUUCCCCUUUCCUUUUUAGGAAUAAAUAAAGUUCGGUGGCGACUCUGUUCAGUCCAUCAUUGCGAGCGUGCAAUUUCGCUUCGCUCAAAGUCGUAUCCCCAUUUUUUUCGAGGUGUGACAAUCUUCAUCACCCUCAGCUUCAUCAUUCA
Molecule: long non-coding RNA, 463 nt
Filed under: Lathyrus oleraceus (garden pea)
Lineage: Eukaryota; Viridiplantae; Streptophyta; Magnoliopsida; Fabales; Fabaceae
Description: Pisum sativum (pea) long non-coding RNA (PSAT_LNC039129)
Source: RNAcentral